UACGUAGGCAGCAAGCGUUGUUCGGAAUUACUGGGCGUAAAGAGUGUGUAGGCGGUGCUCUAAGUUCGGUGUGAAAUCUCCCGGCUCAACUGGGAGGGUGCGCCGGAAACUGGGGUGCUGGAGCGCGGGAGAGGAAAGCGGAAUUCCUGGUGUAGCGGUGAAAUGCGUAGAUAUCAGGAGGAACACCGGUGGUGUAAACGGCUUUCUGGACCAUAACUGACGCUGAGGCACGAAAGCGUGGGUAGCAAACAGG
This 253-nucleotide ribosomal RNA is filed under the name uncultured bacterium. RNAcentral describes it as "partial 16S ribosomal RNA". It matches the Rfam family "Bacterial small subunit ribosomal RNA", at positions 524 to 776 of the family's 1533-position model. The record is from RNAcentral.